This 2312-nucleotide long non-coding RNA is filed under the name Triticum aestivum (bread wheat). Its description in RNAcentral is "long non-coding RNA (TAES_LNC026947)". The record is from RNAcentral. Lineage: Eukaryota; Viridiplantae; Streptophyta; Magnoliopsida; Poales; Poaceae.
UGAACAGAGGUUUUACUGCAUGCCGCCGUGUUCUGUUAGUUUUGCCCGUGUAAAUGUGUACUCUACCGUAGUUGUUUGUAUUAUGCUGGGCAUUCUGGGUCCCCGUCUUUUUUUCUUGUAAAUUUGUAAUGACUCCCGGUGCCUGAGCACCCCGCACUCCACUCAUCACCCGCGCUGAAGUUCCACGUGUAUAUUGUACGACAGAAAGUGAAGAGAGAAAUGUGUUAUGCGGCAUAAUCACAAUACUAUGAAACUUGAUCACAAGAUACUCCAUCUGUCUCACAAUAUAAGAUCAUUUUUCAAGUUGUACGAUCUUAUAUUGCGGGACGGAGGGAGUAAUAAAUAUGGCAUCACCGGAAGGACACCGAUAUUUGCGGUACUUCCGAAAUAACAUCCGACAAACCAAAAAGAUGCAAGUCUGACGAACAGUUGUGAACUGAAUACAGAUGUCUGAAGUCUGAACCGCAUCUAAAACAGUUGGCUGUAUUCUUCAGGUCUGAAGAAGAAACACCGGCACUAGAACAAUAGCUUGUCUAUGCGUACGCCAGAGUAUCAGUAUCGUUCGGUUCAGUCAGUCAUUGCCAUCCUUCUUUCCAAUCUGUAUGAUGACAGUACAUUCAGUUUGUAUCACACAGUACGCGGAUGCGGUCAGUCGUCUUCUCCUCUUGCGAGCACAAUUCUUUAAUUUUUCCUUAGAGAGAGAAUCUUCCGAGCACAGAUGGCAUCGCAUCGCACGCAAUGGGCUUGCAAGCCUGGGCAGAUAUUUUGUCACAAGUCCACAUUACAGCGGCAGAAAAGCGGGGUUUCGCACAGCGGCAUAUCCGAAUAUUUCUCCCUUUUCCAGAAAUUUAUUCAAAUUCUAAAUAUAUUAUUUUAAAACUCUGAACAAUAUUUGACAAGCCCGGACAUGUUUUCCAAAAAAAUUCUUUUGUAGUACUGAACAAAUUUGAAAAAUGUGUACAUUCCUAAUUGGCGAAAUGGUUUCCAAAAAGAGGCUUUUUUUUUCAAAAAAUCCAAACAUUUUUGACAAAUUUUCAAAAACAGGAAUGUUUUUAAAAUUCCAAUUUCUAUUUACGAACAAUUUUUGAAACAUAUGUGAACAAAUUCUCAAAAACAGUAAUAUUUUUAAAAUUCCAACGAAAUUUCGACAAAUAUGAACGAUUUCUGAUUAAAUUUUGAAGUUGAGAAUAUUUUUUUAAAAACAGGAACAUUUUCGGAAUUAUGAAUAAAUUUCCAAAAGGGAACAUUAUACCAAUUACAAACAUUUCUUUUACAAACACGAACAAUAUUAAAAAAAAUGAAUUAUUUUUUAAUUCAUGAACAAAAUUUUAAAGUGAAGAUUUAAGAAUUUGUGUAAAAUAAUUCAAAAACAGAAACAUUUUUUAGAAUUCAAAACAACUUUUUACAAAUACAAACAAUUUUGAUAAAAUUUUGAAGCUGUGCACAAAUUUUUAAAAGAGGACAUUUUUGAAUUGAUGAACACUUUUUAAAACAGGGGAAAAAAUCCAAUUCUAAACAAUUUCUCACAGAUGCGACUAAGGUUUGUAAGAAGUUGAACUAUUUUUCAAUUUGUUAACAGACUUUAAAAAUGGGAAUUUUUUGAAUUAAUGUACAAAUUUCAAAAAACAGGGACAAAUCCAAACAUUUUUUUACACAUAUGUACAAAUUUGAAAUACAGCAACAUUUUUUAAAAUUUCAAUCAUUUUUUGAAGAUCACAAACAAAAUUUGGAAAGGUAACUUUUUUUAUAAUUUCAAUCAAAUUUGGACAAGCACGGACAUGUUUUGGAAGAAUCAAGAACAAUGUUUGAAUAUGUGAAAAAAUUGGAAAUUGAAUAUUUUUCUAAAAUUGUGACCAAAUUUUGAAAAUAAAAUUUUUUUAGCACAUCAAACAUUUUUUAUAAAUCUGAAUACUAUUUGACAAAUCAUGAAAAAUUGUUUAAAUUCCAAAAAAACAAAAUCGUGAACAAUAUUUGAAAACAUGAAUAAUUUUUGAAUUAUGAGCAAUAUUUAAAGUUUCAAAACAAUAUUUUGAAAAAUAACAUGGAAAGGAACGGAAAAAACCCCUCAAAAACAGUUCAUGAACCUCUAGAAGUUCCCCAAAACCCAAACGAACAAACAGGUUAAAUGGCAUGAACCUCUAGAAGUUUCCAAUAACCUAAACGAACAAAUAGGUUAAAUAGGUCGACCCACAUGCUUCCGCUAGUGCUCUUGGCUGUGCAAAGCGGAGACAAUUUGACGCAACACGUGACAAAUAGGGAUUUCCUUACAAUUGAUCACCAAUUUAGCACCCUAGAUCCUCACAAAAAAAAAA